UACGUAGGGGGCAAGCGUUGUCCGGAAUUAUUGGGCGUAAAGAGCGCGUAGGCGGUCCCGAUAAGUCGGCUGUGAAGGUCAGGGGCUCAACCCUUGAAAGCCGGCCGAUACUGUCGGACUAGAGUCCGGAAGAGGCAAGUGGAAUUCCCGGUGUAGCGGUGAAAUGCGCAGAUAUCGGGAGGAACACCAAUGGCGAAGGCAGCUUGCUGGGACGGUACUGACGCUGAGGCGCGAAAGCGUGGGGAGCAAACAGG
This 254-nucleotide ribosomal RNA is filed under the name uncultured bacterium. RNAcentral describes it as "partial 16S ribosomal RNA". It matches the Rfam family "Bacterial small subunit ribosomal RNA", at positions 524 to 776 of the family's 1533-position model. The record is from RNAcentral.